Molecule: ribosomal RNA, 405 nt
Filed under: uncultured bacterium
Lineage: Bacteria
Description: bacterial SSU rRNA
Rfam family: Bacterial small subunit ribosomal RNA
Source: RNAcentral
UGGGGAAUAUUGCACAAUGGGGGAAACCCUGAUGCAGCAACGCCGCGUGAAGGAUGAAGGUUUUCGGAUCGUAAACUUCUUUGAUGAGGGACGAAUAAUGACGGUACCUCAAAAACAAGCCACGGCUAACUACGUGCCAGCAGCCGCGGUAAUACGUAGGUGGCGAGCGUUGUCCGGAUUUACUGGGUGUAAAGGGCGUGUAGGCGGGAAUGUAAGUCAGAUGUGAAACUCCGGGGCUCAACUUCGGAACUGCAUCUGAAACUAUGUUUCUUGAGUGCUGGAGAGGAAAGCGGAAUUCCUAGUGUAGCGGUGAAAUGCGUAGAUAUUAGGAGGAACACCAGUGGCGAAGGCGGCUUUCUGGACAGUAACUGACGCUGAGGCGCGAAAGCGUGGGGAGCAAACAGG